UACAGAGGUCCCGAGCGUUGUUCGGAUUCACUGGGCGUAAAGGGUGCGUAGGUGGUGAGGUAAGUCGGAUGUGAAAGCUCGGAGCUCAACUCCGAAAUGGCAUUGGAAACUACCUUGCUCGAGGGUUGGAGGGGGACUGGAAUUCUCGGUGUAGCAGUGAAAUGCGUAGAUAUCGAGAGGAACACCAGUGGCGAAGGCGAGUCCCUGGACAACUCCUGACACUGAGGCACGAAAGCUAGGGGAGCAAACAGG
RNAcentral lists this ribosomal RNA (252 nucleotides) under uncultured bacterium. Its description in RNAcentral is "partial 16S ribosomal RNA". It matches the Rfam family "Bacterial small subunit ribosomal RNA", at positions 524 to 776 of the family's 1533-position model. The record is from RNAcentral.